RNAcentral lists this long non-coding RNA (672 nucleotides) under Androctonus crassicauda. The record is from RNAcentral. Lineage: Eukaryota; Metazoa; Arthropoda; Arachnida; Scorpiones; Buthidae.
CUUCCGAUCUGGCGUCGAGCCGCCUAAAAGAAACAAAAACAGAAUGGGAACGGGUGAGAAAAGUCCAAUCGGUGUUUUCCACCCCAUUCCCGAGUCCGGAGAUAAACGCGUAAUCGCAAAUCGAAUAUUUAUGGAGCUGGCUUCAUUAUUGAUAGCUAACGUGUGACGGUUAUCGUUAGCCGGAAAACGCCAAUAAAGUCAAAAUACCGUCGAGGACGAAUGACGGCCUGUUAAACGCGGGGAUUUAGCCUCCCCCGACGGAUAUUUUCCUGGUGGGGAUGAGGCCGCCUAUCGUUCCCGCCCGUGGCCCGCAACCGGGAACAUGGGAAAGUCUAGCGGAUGCUGGGCUUUCCACCCGAUCUCGGACGGCGUAAACUCCAGAGCCCGGAUCCGGCCACCGACCGCGGAGGAAGGCGAGAAGAUUUGGACCGGGAAAUAUCGAGAAGGAGGGCGGGAGGAUGGAAACCGCCCGAUGAUCGGGCGGGCCAUCCCGCCGCCGAAGCGACGCGGUGGCUGGAAGUGGGGGAAGGGAAAGCGGCGUGUGGAUUGUCGCCCAUUUAAACCCUAAUCCAAUACUUAGCCGCCCGGCCAUAAAACAACAUCAAUAUUGACAUUAGAUCCGCCGGCGGGGGGCCAAAUCCCUACCGCUUCCGCCAUCGCUUUCAAAUUACC